GAUGAACGCUGGCGGCGUGCCUAAUACAUGCAAGUCGAGCGAACAGACGAGGAGCUUGCUCCUCUGACGUUAGCGGCGGACGGGUGAGUAACACGUGGAUAACCUACCUAUAAGACUGGGAUAACUUCGGGAAACCGGAGCUAAUACCGGAUAAUAUAUUGAACCGCAUGGUUCAUUGGGAAAAGAGGGUUUUGUUGUCAUUAUUAGAGGGAUCCGCGCCGCAUUAGCUAGUUGGUAAGGUAACGGCUUACCAAGGCAACGAUGCGUAGCCGACCUGAGAGGGUGAUCGGCCACACUGGAACUGAGACACGGUCCAGACUCCUACGGGAGGCAGCAGUAGGGAAUCUUCCGCAAUGGGCGAAAGCCUGACGGAGCAACGCCGCGUGAGUGAUGAAGGUCUUCGGAUCGUAAAACUCUGUUAUUAGGGAAGAACAAAUGUGUAAGUAACUAUGCACGUCUUGACGGUACCUAAUCAGAAAGCCACGGCUAACUACGUG
This 497-nucleotide ribosomal RNA is filed under the name uncultured bacterium. RNAcentral describes it as "partial 16S ribosomal RNA". It matches the Rfam family "Bacterial small subunit ribosomal RNA", at positions 28 to 507 of the family's 1533-position model. The record is from RNAcentral.